AAAGAGAGUCUAAAGAUGGCGGCCUUAGCAGCAAGAGAUGCUGUGGUGCUGUGUGGAAAUAUCAGUCAGCCGGUUGCUUUUGUGAAAAAAAAUUCUUAGACUGAAGCGUCCAGUCAGCUGAGAGCACUUUGCACAGUUUGGACAUAUAUGAAAUUGUAUUGUACCUUUUGACAAGGAGACUGGCUUUCACAGAGGUUUGGGUUGGGUUCAGUUGUCUUCAGAAGAAGAACUUCAGAAUGCACUAGAACAGGAAAAUCAUAUUCUAGUUGGAGUAAAGCUCCAGGUUCAAGCUCAAAGGCCAAAAGGUUUGCAAACAUCUGAUGACGACAAAGAUUUUUGAGACCGCCAGCCUAUUAAAGUUA
Molecule: RNA transcript, 362 nt
Organism: Sapajus apella (tufted capuchin)
Lineage: Eukaryota; Metazoa; Chordata; Mammalia; Primates; Cebidae
Gene name: SRA stem-loop-interacting RNA-binding protein, mitochondrial-like
Exons: 1
Source: RefSeq, a predicted model, not a curated record